UGGAGUCACUGGCAGCCUCAGUGCGUCUCACCAUGUACGUGUCACAAAGCUGCACGAGGCCUGCCCAUGACCCUUC
RNAcentral lists this non-coding RNA (76 nucleotides) under Sus scrofa (pig). The record is from RNAcentral. Lineage: Eukaryota; Metazoa; Chordata; Mammalia; Artiodactyla; Suidae.